This 675-nucleotide ribosomal RNA is filed under the name uncultured Fusobacteriota bacterium. Its description in RNAcentral is "bacterial SSU rRNA". It matches the Rfam family "Bacterial small subunit ribosomal RNA", at positions 75 to 768 of the family's 1533-position model. Lineage: Bacteria; Fusobacteriati; Fusobacteriota. The record is from RNAcentral.
UUGAUCCUUCGGGUGAAGGUGGCGGACGGGUGAAGUAACGCGUAAAGAACUUGCCUUACAGACUGGGACAACAUUUGGAAACGAAUGCUAAUACCGGAUAUUAUGACUGAGUCGCAUGAUUUGGUUAUGAAAGCUAUAUGCGCUGUGAGAGAGCUUUGCGUCCCAUUAGUUAGUUGGUGAGGUAACGGCUCACCAAGACGAUGAUGGGUAGCCGGCCUGAAGGGUGAACGGCACAAGGGGACUGAACACGGCCCUUACUCCUACGGGAGGCAGCAGUGGGGAAUAUUGGACAAUGGACCAAAAGUCUGAUCCAGCAAUUCUGUGUGCACGAUGAAGUUUUCGGAAUGUAAAGUGCUUUCAGUUGGGAAGAAGUCAGUGACGGUACCAACAGAAGAAGCGACGGCUAAAUACGUGCCAGCAGCCGCGGUAAUACGUAUGUCGCAAGCGUUAUCCGGAUUUAUUGGGCGUAAAGCGCGUCUAGGCGGUUUAGUAAGUCUGAUGUGAAAAUGCGGGGCUCAACCCCGUAUUGCGUUGGAAACUGCUAAACUAGAGUACUGGAGAGGUAGGCGGAACUACAAGUGUAGAGGUGAAAUUCGUAGAUAUUUGUAGGAAUNGCCGAUCGGGGAAGCCAGCCUACUGGACAGAUACUGACGUAAAGCGCGAAAGCGUGGGUAG